This 1372-nucleotide ribosomal RNA is filed under the name uncultured bacterium. RNAcentral's name for it is "bacterial SSU rRNA". It matches the Rfam family "Bacterial small subunit ribosomal RNA", at positions 28 to 1381 of the family's 1533-position model. The record is from RNAcentral.
GAUGAACGCUGGCGGCGUGCCUAAUACAUGCAAGUCGAGCGAACGGACGAGAAGCUUGCUUCUCUGAUGUUAGCGGCGGACGGGUGAGUAACACGUGGAUAACCUACCUAUAAGACUGGGAUAACUUCGGGAAACCGGAGCUAAUACCGGAUAAUAUUUUGAACCGCAUGGUUCAAAAGUAAAAGACGGUCUUGCUGUCACUUAUAGAUGGAUCCGCGCUGCAUUAGCUAGUUGGUAAGGUAACGGCUUACCAAGGCAACGAUGCAUAGCCGACCUGAGAGGGUGAUCGGCCACACUGGAACUGAGACACGGUCCAGACUCCUACGGGAGGCAGCAGUAGGGAAUCUUCCGCAAUGGGCGAAAGCCUGACGGAGCAACGCCGCGUGAGUGAUGAAAGUCUUCGGAUCGUAAAACUCUGUUAUUAGGGAAGAAUAUAUGUGUAAGUAACUGUGCACAUCUUGACGGUACCUAAUCAGAAAGCCCCGGCUAACUACGUGCCAACAGCCGCGGGAAUACGUAAGUGGCAAGCGUUAUCCCGAAUUAUUGGGCGUAAAGCGCGCGUAGGCGGUUUUUUAGUCUGAUGUGAAAGCCCACGGCUCUUCCGUGGGAGGGUCAUUGGAAACUGGAAAACUUGAGUGCAGAAGAGGAAAGUGGAAUUCCAUGUGUAGCGGUGAAAUGCGCAGAGAUAUGGAGGAACACCAGUGGCGAAGGCGACUUUCUGGUCUGUAACUGACGCUGAUGUGCGAAAGCGUGGGGAUCAAACAGGAUUAGAUACCCUGGUAGUCCACGCCGUAAACGAUGAGUGCUAAGUGUUAGGGGGUUUCCGCCCCUUAGUGCUGCAGCUAACGCAUUAAGCACUCCGCCUGGGGAGUACGACCGCAAGGUUGAAACUCAAAGGAAUUGACGGGGACCCGCACAAGCGGUGGAGCAUGUGGUUUAAUUCGAAGCAACGCGAAGAACCUUACCAAAUCUUGACAUCCUUUGACAACUCUAGAGAUAGAGCCUUCCCCUUCGGGGGACAAAGUGACAGGUGGUGCAUGGUUGUCGUCAGCUCGUGUCGUGAGAUGUUGGGUUAAGUCCCGCAACGAGCGCAACCCUUAAGCUUAGUUGCCAUCAUUAAGUUGGGCACUCUAAGUUGACUGCCGGUGACAAACCGGAGGAAGGUGGGGAUGACGUCAAAUCAUCAUGCCCCUUAUGAUUUGGGCUACACACGUGCUACAAUGGACAAUACAAAGGGCAGCGAAACCGCGAGGUCAAGCAAAUCCCAUAAAGUUGUUCUCAGUUCGGAUUGUAGUCUGCAACUCGACUACAUGAAGCUGGAAUCGCUAGUAAUCGUAGAUCAGCAUGCUACGGUGAAUACGUUCCCGGGUCU